Molecule: long non-coding RNA, 3079 nt
Organism: Argentina anserina (silverweed cinquefoil)
Lineage: Eukaryota; Viridiplantae; Streptophyta; Magnoliopsida; Rosales; Rosaceae
Exons: 6
Source: RefSeq, a predicted model, not a curated record
GAAAUCAAAGGCGGGUUUAGUGUUUAGACUUUAGACAAAUAUCCACUCCUAAUUUAAUUCCCUUCCAACACUCUAAAUUCACUGAACCCAAUCCCCCCUCCGCUCUCAAAUUCACUCAUACCUUAAAAUUCACUGACCCCGACAUCUAUGACCUCAGACCUCCGUUUCCUCGACGGCGAUCUCUUCCCCGAAGGUUUAUCAGAGUAUGCAGUGGUCAGGUUAAGGAAGGGUUCCUGAAACAAAAUCGAAUUCUUGCGUGGAUUGAUUUUGUGGUUAAUCUACAGAAGUGAGCUUUUAUUUUUUGAGGUCUUAACAGUGAAGAGCUCCUCUUUUACUUUGUUCCUUGUUGGGUUGGUUUGUCGAAAUGAGCGUACUCUGAUAUUUGUACUGAGCUUGUGUUAAUACUUUGCUGACAAUAGCAUUUGAAGCAAGAAUCAGCUUAAUGUGAGGAUUGGUAUGAGAUUCCUUUCUUUCUGUUUCUUGUUUCGUGUUUUCGCUGCCAGAGUUGCUAUUUUGCUUAGAGAAGAUGCUCGUUAAACUCAUAAUCGACUGAAUUCCAGAAAGGAUUGUCUUCUUUUCUUUUUUGGUAGUCUUUGUAUACUAAGAUGCUUGGUACUUAUAACUGCAGAAUGGCCUAUCCAAGACUAGAGUGAUUGAGUCUUCUGGUAUGUUUUCCGAUAUUGUUAACCGCUGAAAGCCAUCCUGUGGAACCACUUGGGUCCAGAAUGCAGUUGCCAAAUUACCUGGAGACCACCAGCAUAUCCCACUUUGACAAGGAAUUUGGUCAUUUUGGUGCAGAGAUUUGUCCUUUUGAAAUGCUUUCAAAUUUAGGAGGACACGGUGGGGUUGUACUGUUAAUGGUUUCUUACAAAUCAUAGGAGAAAAGAACACUGUUGGAUUAAGUGAUCAACAAAUCAUACCUUAGUAAACUGAAAAAUUAUAUGCUCUUUCGAAAUUGAGAGAGAGAGAGAGAGAGAGAGAGAGAGAGAGAGAUUAGCCAAAACACGCAGAUGUGGGAGUGAUUAGCUAGAAGUCUUCUUACCUAACCAUAUAUGUUAGGGGAUUUGUUUUUCUGAAUAAGAUUUGAAAUACUACAUCUCUACUACUAUAAAAUCGGCAUCCAAGAAAAUCACCUAUGUAAUUUUACCUUCACACAUAAGCAUAGAGAUAAUUACGUAAAAAUACACAUGCUUAAUUAAUAUGUUUUACCAAAACUAUCAUUCGUCAUUACAAAAAAAAAACUAUCAUUCGUAGUAAACAUAAUUACAUAAAAGGAUUGUGUUUCAAGAGUGCACUUCAAACAAAAUUCUGCAAACCCGUGAGAUGAAAACGCGUGCAUCGCACGGGUACGAGGCUUGUGGUUAUUAAUUGGGUAAUUAUAUAUCCAUAUGGUGUAAACUCUUUUAUAAAUUACUAGUAGUUUUAAGAUUUUAGUGUAAUUAAAUCAUUAUGCAAUCAAUUUACAUUAAAAAAAUUUAUAUCAUAAGGCUUACGCCUUACUGAGGCUCUCCCCGGAACGCCUCGACUACACUUAAAAGACAUUGAUUAUGAUCGAGGUUCAUCCAUACAAUAUGGAGAAGACAAUAUCAUUUUCUGUACUUCAUGGUAAAAAGGCAACUUCGAAUCCAGGUAUAUUUCUCCUACCUUUUCCAUCUCGUAAUUUACUUCAUAACUUAUUAACUUAUCAUACUUUGUGUUAAAACAAGCAUAUGCUGAAAAUGACUUGGUUGCUAUAUAUGUUAUAGUAGAUUCCUCUGUGCAUUGAUAGAUUGUCAUUGCUGUUUGUGUAACUGUACAUGUAUGGUGUAGCUGUAGGAUCAGUUUCUAUUAUGUAUAUAUCAUUUGUAUUCAUAAGCUUUGUAAGUGAUCACAAUCAGCCUAUAUAAUGUACACUGUAAAGAAAAAUAUUGGAUUAAUGAAAACCAUUCUCCACAAGCCAAAUGACUUGGUUGCUAUAUAUGUUAUAGUAGAUUCCUCUGUGCAUUGAUAGAUUGUCAUUGCUGUUUGUGUAACUGUACAUGUAUGGUGUAGCUGUAGGAUCAGUUUCUAUUAUGUAUAUAUCAUUUGUAUUCAUAAGCUUUGUAAGUGAUCACAAUCAGCCUAUAUAAUGUACACUGUAAAGAAAAAUAUUGGAUUAAUUGAAAACCAUUCUCCACAAGCUAAUCAUAAAGCUCCCAUUUGUUUAGACAGGUUUCUCUUAAGUUUUAACAAUAAUAGUUGGGACUUUAUUUAUGCUUAGAGUACUACAACUGGAAUGGAAUCAAGAUAGGUAUUCUAAUGGGCCAUCAUUCAUUGGUGAUGCGAAAGCAGUAGACCUAGUAAAGUAGUAAGCCAACUCAAGUUUAGUUAGUAGUCUAAGUCAUCUACGCAUAAGAGAUUUUGAAGUUGAUGCUAAUUUAGUGAAGAAUAUAUCUUUACCAAGCUACAAAUCUUCACUCCAGAGGGGGAAGGGUUUUUCGUGCUGUAUUGAUGAUCUAUGAUCAAGAAGAAUAUGAUGAACGCUGAAAAUGUAUUGCCAAGAAUAACAUUCGUCUUUAUCUUGUCCUCCUUUAUGAUCAACUAUGAGUACUCCUUGCGAUUUCAGGCUCUGCUCUCUUGUUGUUCUACUGGAGAAUCGGCUUCUAUUCUUCAAUGUGGUAACUUUCAUGCACCAUUACCUGCCGGAACUAAUAUGAAAUGCCUUGCAGAUGCAGGCCACUUCAUCAAUGCGUACUCAUCAUUUAGUAUAUUCUAAUCUUGAAAUAUAGUUUUCUGUUGCAGUCGAUGCCUCAUAUUAACUAGACAGGAAAACUAUUUCUGGGUCACAACAAAUUGAAGCACGUUAUAGUCAAGUGGCUGCACUACAGUGUUCAGCAAACCAUUUACCUGCAUCCUGGAUUUCAAGAUUGAGACCAGGGUCGGUAACUGGUUAAAAUAUAAUCAUCUCUAUCUACUUUAGAGUCCUUUUACUACCCUCAAAAUGUGGUAUGGCAACUCCGAUCCGUACUCUUUUUUUUUAAUCCUUCAUUGCACAUCCCCACUUCCCAAUAUUAUGUAUUGUCCCCAACCUUUUAAUCUGAUUCCUUUUCUUUUCUGGAAA